UCCGGUAGCCUAGUGGUUAGAAUGUCUGCUUUGGAUGCUGGAGGUCGUGGGUUCGAACCCUGGCCUAGUCAU
Potamilus streckersoni is the source of this 72-nucleotide non-coding RNA. NCBI's taxonomy places the organism in Eukaryota, Metazoa, Mollusca, Bivalvia, Unionida, Unionidae. The record is from the annotation of a GenBank genome assembly.